Molecule: long non-coding RNA, 1274 nt
Organism: Drosophila albomicans
Lineage: Eukaryota; Metazoa; Arthropoda; Insecta; Diptera; Drosophilidae
Exons: 3
Source: RefSeq, a predicted model, not a curated record
UUGACACAAGUAUUUCGCUGCUGGCCGAUGUGUACGAGACUUCAGUUAUUUUGCGGCAUUUGAACUCUGCGCAACGAAACGCAACGAAGUGCUAACGAACGGUCCGACACAACGACAGGCGUGUAAAUCGUAGGCGUAGCAACAACAACUACAACAACAACGACAACAACUAGCAAUAACAAAUAGACAACCAUCCGGCAUUUUCUAUUAUGAUUAAAUGUUGAGUGUUAAACAGUGAGUGCGUGUGCGAAUUCCGCUUAAAGUGAAAGCUAAUAAACAAAAUAGCGCGAAAUCAACAUCAACAAAAUAACAAACAACGCUAUUGCGAAAAUAGUUCACCGACUACGGAUAAAGAAAAAACAUCCACAUUAAUUAUAUAAAUUUAUUUUCUGUACUAUAAAUAAAGGACCAAGCACCUCUGGGAUAAUGCAUUAGACGAGCAAGGCGAAGGACUUGGUAAAUAUAAUUUGGCAAAUUAUUAACGGGGAUGUAAGAAGUGCUUAUCUGUGGAGGGUAAACAUUGCAAACAGCAAACAGAGCACAGCGAAUGAAUUAUCCAUAAUGUUAUUUACCAAUGUGUGGAGGUGUCUGUUGUGGUGAUGACAACGAUGUAAAGAGUCAAGUGUAGCAGAGGACAGAGACUUACGAUAUGCUUGUUUGGUAUACACAUUUCAGCCUGUCAACAACAGGAUGCAUUCAUAACUUUGGCACAGCAAGUGGAGGAUGUCCUUUGGAAACUAUCAACUCAGCAAUACUUGCAUCCCUUCCACAUUAUUCAAUUAAACUUUGAUACAAUUCGAAACAUCUGCUGCUGAUGCUGGCAGAUGAAUGUCUUGUCAGACAAAUAUGAAAUUUCCCAACUGUAUUCUGUCUGUAACUAGUGGAGUGCGUAUUCAAUAAAUGAAAGCAGGAAUUUUCAAUUUAAAUUGCAUUAAAUUUACACUAGCAGCAAAAACUGCCAACGGGAAAAGGAAAACCGACAACAUGCAACAGCAGGCAACAAACAAGCAGCCGAAAGCCAACAGCCGCAACAUUUCCUCUGCGUCCCCCAAAAAGUGUUGCAUAUCCGCAGGGGUCGAUGGUGUCCUGGUCAAUGCAAGUUUCGUCCCGCAGGCGAACUCGACCAUCAAUUCAUUAAAUUGCUCACUUGGCUGAUGUUGCUGCUAAUUGGCUGGGUGAGAGAGGCUUCCUGUGCCAAAUUUAUUCUGGGAUCUGCAAUUCCCAAACUGACAUUAUUCUUAGCAUCUGUUGAUUUCCACCUAAUAAUUUUGAGC